CUAACUACGUGCCAGCAGCCGCGGUAAUACGUAGGGGGCUAGCGUUGUCCGGAAUCAUUGGGCGUAAAGCGCGUGUAGGCGGCUUGCCAAGUCCGAUGUGAAAGCUCGGGGCUUAACCCCGAGUCUGCAUUGGAAACUGGCUUCCUUGAGUCCGGAAGAGGAGACUGGAAUUCCUGGUGUAGCGGUGAAAUGCGCAGAUAUCAGAAGAACACCGGUGGCGAAGGCGGGUCUCUGGGACGGUACUGACGCUGAGACGCGAAAGCGUGGGGAGCAAACAGGAUUAGAUACCCUGGUAGUCCACGCCGUAAACGAUGGGCACUAGGUGUGGGAGGUGUCGACUCCUUCCGUGCCGAAGCUAACGCAUUAAGUGCCCCG
Molecule: ribosomal RNA, 375 nt
Filed under: uncultured bacterium
Lineage: Bacteria
Description: bacterial SSU rRNA
Rfam family: Bacterial small subunit ribosomal RNA
Source: RNAcentral